GGUAUAUGUUGAAUUAAUUGCUCAACUGGAUCAGUUUUUGCAAGGACUGAGCUUCAGCAGGACUAAGGUGACUAUGAUGGACAAUGAAGGAAGCACAUGGAUGGGAAAUCUCUUAAAUAAAAGUUUAAUUUCAGCAGGACUAAGGUGACUAUGAUGGACAAUGAAGGAAGCACAUGGAUGGGAAAUCUCUUAAAUAAAAGUUUAAUGGCUUUGCAAAUAUUUACAGUCUGUGAAAUCAGCAUAUAUUUCUGGCUCGAAGUUUUGCUAGUGUUUUCUGUGGAAAGAGAAUAAAAGUCAAAUUUAGCUCUUUA
Molecule: long non-coding RNA, 311 nt
Organism: Jaculus jaculus (lesser Egyptian jerboa)
Lineage: Eukaryota; Metazoa; Chordata; Mammalia; Rodentia; Dipodidae
Exons: 2
Source: RefSeq, a predicted model, not a curated record